This 75-nucleotide transfer RNA is filed under the name Candidatus Hamiltonella defensa (Bemisia tabaci). RNAcentral's name for it is "tRNA-Lys". It matches the Rfam family "tRNA". Rfam says of the family: Transfer RNA (tRNA) molecules are approximately 80 nucleotides in length. Their secondary structure includes four short double-helical elements and three loops (D, anti-codon, and T loops). Further hydrogen bonds mediate the characteristic L-shaped molecular structure. tRNAs have two regions of fundamental functional importance: the anti-codon, which is responsible for specific mRNA codon recognition, and the 3' end, to which the tRNAs corresponding amino acid is attached (by aminoacyl-tRNA synthetases). tRNAs cope with the degeneracy of the genetic code in two manners: having more than one tRNA (with a specific anti-codon) for a particular amino acid; and 'wobble' base-pairing, i.e. permitting non-standard base-pairing at the 3rd anti-codon position. Lineage: Bacteria; Pseudomonadati; Pseudomonadota; Gammaproteobacteria; Enterobacterales; Enterobacteriaceae. The record is from RNAcentral.
GGGCUAUCAGUUUAAUUAUAGAGCAGUGGACUCUUAAUCCAUCGGUCGCAGGUUCGAGUCCUGCAUAGCCCGCCA